ACACAGGAAGGUUUUAGGCAAAAAGCAGAAACAUAUGGCAUGGUGCUAUAUUUUUAAAAUGGAAGUUACUAAAGUAACUCAAUGUUCAUUACUUUCCAAAACAUAUCUGAUGAAUUAAAAGUUCUAGAGCCCUAAACAACACCCACCAGCCAUUUAAAUUAAAAUUCAUUGCUGGACUCAGUGAGGUAAAGAAUGACAAAGAACUUGACUGCAAACAGAAGGGAGAGCAUUUUCCCAUGAAUGAUGAAAGAUAAAAUAGGGAUUGAGCUUUGUUAUUUUAUUGAGUGAAAAUAAUACAUCUACUCUGUACGGCUGACAGCUAACAUUACUACUGGACACCUCCUCAUUCACCUAAUUGGAGGAGGAACUGAUCAAAAAGUGGUAUAAUAUUUUGACUGGUUGGUCUAGAUUUUCAUCACUCGGAGACUGUUUUAUUCUGACUUGUAAGAUCAUGACAACAGAGAGAAGCAGAGACAAGACACCUCUGUGCUUAGUUUUCUAUCUUUACCUUGAUGCAAGCUGAGUUUCCACAAAGCCACCAUAUAAAUUAUUUGUCCCCAAUAUAUUACACCUCUGUGUAUUGUUUGCACUGAGGUGUAUAUCAAAGCAGCGACUGAAAUGAGCAGGUGUCAGAGAUAAGUGUGUUUCUGAAAUAGAGCAUCUGUCUUCUUUCUUGAUCUCUUUAAACUAAAUGUGGAGAAAGGAACUUGUAAUAAUACUUAUCGUUUUCAUUCAUCCUUGCUGAAACAUUUGGGUUUCAACACUUUCCUUACUGAGAAGAAUGUAUUUAUUUGAAACACGUCUUGAUGAAACAUUUCAUAAGAUAGAUCUGAUUUCUCAAUUACAAAAAGGCCACUCACACCAAUUUAGCAAUUUUCAAUAUAUUUCUUUAUUACUAUGUAAACCUUGGCUUUUUCUGUAGCUUGUUUAAAUCUUAUAGUGUGUUUCAGUCUUUCUAUCUGUUUAAAGGGAAUAACAAGAUCCUCUUUCUGCAUCUUAAUACUGUUAACAAUACCAUCCUCGCUUGCUUAGACUUCUUUGGAAGACAAGUUAUUGUCUAUAGUGCUGAGAAGGUUUGAUGCUAUUGAGACUUUAGAGAAGCUGAAGAUUGAAUUAGGCUGUUAGAGCAGACAGGACUUAACUCACCAGAGAGGUGUAAAAUACAUGAAGAAUGGGAAACUGGAGUUCAGCUGGAAUGAAAAAACCAAGUAGAGGGAUUUGAGACAUAAAAAGUUGGUUGGAAUAGGUUGGGGCAGGAGGUGGGGCUUAAAUACCUGGAUGAAGAGUUGAUGAACAGCUGGGAGUAUUUGACCUUUGGUGAGCCUCGGAAUGCCAUGGUGAAGGCAGUGUUUUAACACAAUUUUGAGCACUGUGUAUGAAAUGUGUCUAGUGCAUACCUCAGGCUGACUUGACAAGGACAUGAAACAGAGUGGUGCCAUUCAGAAUGAAAAGGAAGGGAUACACGUGGCAGAUAUUUCAAAGGAAACUUCCAUAAGAGUUUAGACUGAUAAAAUGUAAGGGAUAAAUUUGUCCCCAAAAUUUUGCCUAAAGCAUUAGGAAAAUGAACAAUAAUUGGGAAAUUAAAACAGAUGAUGACAUUGGAUUUAAAAAAUGUUGAUUUAGGUUUUAGGCACAUUGAAUUUGACAAAAGGAAAUUUCCAGGAGAGAAUAAGAGAUGCUUUAAGGAGAUACAGGGACAAUAUAGAAUUAGGAAUUAACUUGUAUAAUAAUUAAAUUAAAAGCUUAAGAAAGAGAUAAAAUGACUGACUGGACCUUGCUUAAAAUGCGUAGUGAUCUUUGAUAAAUAAAUAUUAAGUUUUUGAGAUGUAGCAUUGUAUUAAUUCAAAUUAGUCUGAUUGAAUAUGAUUUGGAGGCAUUGGGCCAAGUGUUGUACAUUUUUUCCCUGGUUAUAAAAGUAAAGUAUGUCACUGUAGAAUAUUUUUAAAAAUGAAGAAUUAUAUAAACAAGGAAGAAAAGAAGCAGCCUUAAAAUCACCCACAGCAACAGCUAUUAACAUGUUAACAAACUUAUGUAACUUUUUUAUAUGUAAUUUCACAGUCGAUUCUGCAUUUUUAUGUUAAAUUUAAUAUCUUUCUUGGCUUUUCAUAAACUUUUGUCAUCCUCUUAAAAAUCAUAUGUUAAUGGCUGCCUUCAUUGAAUUGCAUGGAAAAGAAUGGUGACAUGGUCAGCUUUGGAAUCAGUCGGUUUUGUUUUAAGUUCUGGAAUCACCAUGAAUUUGUUGCAUGAUCUUAGGUACAUAAAUCAUUUAACUUUUCUAAGCCUAAAUGAUUUCAUCCAAAAAUAUGGGAAGAAAAAUAGGACUUAUAAACUUAUUGGGAAGAUUAAAGAUAUAAUGUAUAUUAAACACUGAAGAUAAAUGUAUGUUAAACAUUUAGCAGUGUCUGUAAAUUUACAGGUCUCUCUGGAGUUAUGUAUUUCUCUUUUGUCUUUGUUUCCAUAUUUCUCCCUUAAGGACUCUGUCUAUAUUUGUUCAUCCAUAUUUCUAGGCAAUUUUUUUCUUUUGUUUCCUUUAUCCUUUCUUUCUUUCCUUUUUUAAUAGGUAAGAGCUACCUUUUCAACUUGAGAUUGGGAAAGAAGAAAACUGGAAAAUAUCUAUAAUAGGCUUGACUUGAGGACAAUUGUUACAUCCUUUCCUCAUUCCCAGCCUUUUUAGGCCGAAAGGUCCCUGGAUAUGUGAUUCAUAGACGCCUUUGUACCCCGUCCAGUUACCAGUUUAGCACUCUAGCCUCAGCUAGUCUUUAACACCAGGUUCCCUCUUGCUUGUCUGGAAAUGAGAACCAACUAAUUUUGGGCAUAUUUGGUUACACUCCACCUUUUAAUCUGACUCCUGUCCCGCGCUGCUCAGAACCUUUUGGCCCAGCACACAUCUAUGCACCUCUCACUUCUGACCCUUCCCAUGGGCUGCCACAUCCUCUUAAAAAUAGCCCAUCUCAUUUCUCUCCUAUAUUUUGGCUACAGAAACACCUAUGUGAACAAUGCAAAUAGGAGAAAACCAAAGAGUUCUCAAAAAUUCAGAUUCUCCUAAAAGUAGCAAACCAAAAUGCCAUUACUUCUACAUGGCCCAUUUCACAAGUGGUUUCAGCAGUACAAAUUGGCUGAAUUUCAGACUCACAACCACCUGCAGCGGUAUGCCUGUUGUGACUGCAGAAUCAGUCAGGGAAAGAAGGCUGUGUGGAACUGUACACGCAACAAUGACUUCUCAGUCAGAGACAUACCCCAGACUCCCUUCAACAGAAAGCAAACAAAAGCAAUAGUUCAUGAAAAUGUUUAUGAAAUGGGGUGUAGAAACCAAACACAGUGGCAGCCAUGUAGGCCUUUUAGAUUUAAGCGCAUUUAUUUUUCAUAGAAAUAAAAAUAAGCCUAGCUUUCAAAAACAUCUCAUGUUCUACUUGAGAUUUCAUAAGAAUAUUUUGCAGAAGAAUAUGGUUUUAUAUUAUCAAGAGAUAACUGAAUGACUUUAAUUUCUACUUGUUCAAUAUGAAGCCGAGUGUGACACAUCAAUUCCAUUAAGUUCAGUUCAACAAAUACUUACUGUCGCUGAAAUGCCGGAGGAGCUAUGUGAGGUGUUGUGUAGAGUGCAGAGAUAAACAAGACAUGAUCUCUGAGUCCAAGGACAUUCCCUCUCCUCCAAGUCAACUCAAUGUCUCCUUUUGAUCUUUCAAGGGCUUUUUGGAUCAUGAUCCUUUUGCAGUUUGGCUAGAAUUAUUCUGGGGAUUGUGUUGGAGUCAUUAAGAACCACUUUGUUUGUGUGUCUCUAAAGUGAGGCUACAGUAUUAACUAUUGGAAACACAUUUCUUUUAGAUUCUGUGUCCAAACUGUUCUCUGUCUGUACAUAUACUACAGACAAAGAAAUGAGGAUGCUACUGUUAGCAGAACAUCAGGAGGGGGACACAGCUUACUAAACCAAUUUCUGGCUCAAAAAGUCAUGUUAAAUAUUCUUAUGACACACACACAAAAGGGGGGCAGUAUCAUGAGUUAGUGCCAGAUGCUGGAAGGUGGUUGAGCCAGUGAGGCGGGCCCUCAGGAAGGAGAAGAGAAUUUGGAUGCAAAUUACAACAUUUCCUCCUCUAAGGAGAAUGGAGCACCAGGAGCUUUUAUCAUUUUCAGGGAAUGUUGUGAAGGGAAUUUCAUAUUUAAAUUCUUGAGACGUGAAAAUGAUGUAAUAUGUAAAACUUUUUGUAUGUCUUUGUUAGUUAGCCAAUUUCUCUGCCAUAAGGCUUUUCCAUGUGAAAUGAGCUGAGAAAGGAAAAAUAAAAUGUAGAUGAAAUCUCUUUUAGAGAAGAAGUGGAAGUAAAAUAAAAAUCUGCUUCUUCUGGCCCCAGGGAAUAAUGGGGGCAAAAGGGAGCAGAGGUAAGAGAGACAUUUGGUUGAGAUGUAGGAGUCCCAGUCUCAUCCCUCUAAAAUGAAGUCCUGGAAUGGAAGGUACUUCAGAUGUCAGAGGGGGACAUUGAAGCUGGAAAUGCUUGGGCUCCUCUUCCCAUUUGGGACUUUCGUAGGGACAACAGGUAGGGCACUGUGGUCUGGAAUUGACCCUGGGCAGCCUAGGAGCAGAGUGCUAUAGUCAGGUAGAGAGGACUUAUUUAGCAGUCAUGAGUUACCCUUGGCUCUCUGGGUUACGAGACACCGGAGUUUCCUUCUUGUCCCAUAUCAGGGGGAAUACUGAGGGAAACUGAGAGUCUGUGCGCAUGCCAUGGAUCACUGCCUAGAUGGACCCAGCACAGGCUGUCUCAUAGAGGAACCUGUGUUGGACAACAGGGAAGAGAAUCAGAAAAUGUCUGCCAUGCCAGUGAGAGUACCAAGGCUGAGCCAAUCAGCUGAAGAUCUCACUGAGGCCCAACCAAGUUGACGGAGACAAAAGCCGCAAGUUAUUCCAGGCUGAAGUUGAACAGCAGGAACCAAUACAUUGCACAAGGGUGGGAAGUCAUGCAACGAGGCCUCAGAAAUCCCAGCCAGCACAGACACAAGAACCAGCACAAGUGACUUGCAUAGGGGUCUGCUGGCUCUCCCAUCUUUUCUUGGCAUCGUCUCCAUUUCUUCAGAGGCACUUCCCCAAAUAAAAUCUUUGCUCUUUUAAUCCUGUUUUGGUGUCUGCUUCUUGGAGCUCUUGAACUAACUCAACCAUCGAUUCAGAUAAACUGGUUCAAAUCUGGGCUUGGCUAUUUACUGGCUACAGGGCCUGUGUCAGUUACUUAACCUCCGUAUUCUGCAG
Molecule: long non-coding RNA, 5230 nt
Filed under: Equus caballus (horse)
Lineage: Eukaryota; Metazoa; Chordata; Mammalia; Perissodactyla; Equidae
Description: lncRNA (ENSECAG00000045400.1)
Source: RNAcentral